Molecule: ribosomal RNA, 497 nt
Filed under: uncultured bacterium
Lineage: Bacteria
Description: partial 16S ribosomal RNA
Rfam family: Bacterial small subunit ribosomal RNA
Source: RNAcentral
GAUGAACGCUGGCGGCGUGCCUAACACAUGCAAGUCGAGCGAACAGACGAGGAGCUUGCCCCUUUGACGUUAGCGGCGGACGGGUGAGUAACACGUGGAUAACCUACCUAUAAGACUGGGAUAACUUCGGGAAACCGGAGCUAAUACCGGAUAAUAUAUUGAACCGCAUGGUUCAAUAGUGAAUGACGGUUUUGGUGUAACUAAUAGAUGGAUCCGCGCUGCAUUAGCUAGUUGGUAAGGUAACGGCUUACCAAGGCAACGAUGCGUAGCCGAGCUGAGAGGGUGAUCGGCCACACUAGAACUGAGACACGGUCCAGGCUACGACGGGAGGCAGCAGUAGGGAAUAUUGCACAAUGGGCGAAAGCGUGACAGAGCAACGCCGCGUGGGAGAUGAAGGUCUUCGGAUCGUAAAGCUCUGUUAUUAGUGAAGAACAAAUGUGUCAGUAUCUAGGGACGUUUUGACGGUACCUAAUCAGAAAGCAACGGCUAACUACGUG